AACGAACGCUGGCGGCAUGCUUAACACAUGCAAGUCGAACGGAAAGGCCCUGCUUUUGUGGGGUGCUCGGGUGGCGAACGGGUGAGUAACACGUGAGUAACCUGCCCUUGACUUUGGGGUGACUUCAUACAGCUGAAGGUAAUACCGGAUAGGAUCUCCUGCUUCAGGGUGGGGGUUGGAAAGUUUCGGCUGUUGGGGAUGGAAUCGCGGCUUAUGGGCUUGUUUGUGGGGUGGUGGGUGACCAAGGCGUUGACGGGUAGGCGGCCUGAGAGGGUGACCGGCCACAUUGGGACUGAGAUACGGCCCAGACUCCUACGGGAGGCAGCAGUGGGGAAUAUUGCACAAUGGGCGGAAGCCUGAUGCAGCAACGCCGCGUGCGGGAUGACGGCCUUCGGGUUGUAAACCGCUUUCGCCUGUGACGAAGCGUGAGUGACGGUAAUGGGUAAAGAAGCACCGGCUAACUACGUG
This 468-nucleotide ribosomal RNA is filed under the name uncultured bacterium. RNAcentral's name for it is "partial 16S ribosomal RNA". It matches the Rfam family "Bacterial small subunit ribosomal RNA", at positions 28 to 507 of the family's 1533-position model. The record is from RNAcentral.